This 276-nucleotide long non-coding RNA is filed under the name Mytilus galloprovincialis (Mediterranean mussel). Lineage: Eukaryota; Metazoa; Mollusca; Bivalvia; Mytilida; Mytilidae. The record is from RNAcentral.
GUCGUUUACAAAAUAUUAUAAAUAUUACAUCAAUAUAGAUAAAUAAUGCUAUUCUAAUUAUAUUAAAGUAUUUAUAUUAUCUGGUCUUAUUUUCGGAAAAUUUUCAUAGUUCAUCCGAGUUUGGGAUGACUUCUAUCAGUUUCCAUGUGUUUCCGGAUAACGGUUUUUUCAAUCAAUAUCGAAAAAGAUUGUAAUUAUCUUUGAUCUACAUCAUUAUUCAGGUAAGACAGCUAUAAUUUGAAAGAAUAAUAGUCGUACGGUAAUCAAAGAACAACU